CCCGCUCAGAAACUUAAAGGAAUUGACGGGGGCCCGCACAAGCGGUGGAGCAUGUGGUUUAAUCGAAGCAACGCGAAGAACCUUACCAGGCCUUGACAUGCAGAGAACUUUCCAGAGAUGGAUUGGUGCCUUCGGGAACUCUGACACAGGUGCUGCAUGGCUGUCGUCAGCUCGUGUCGUGAGAUGUUGGGUUAAGUCCCGUAACGAGCGCAACCCUUGUCCUUAGUUACCAGCACGUUAUGGUGGGCACUCUAAGGAGACUGCCGGUGACAAACCGGAGGAAGGUGGGGAUGACGUCAAGUCAUCAUGCCCCUUAUGAUCUGGGCUACACACGUGCUACAAUGGCCGGUACAACGGGCAGCGAAGGAGCGAUCCGGAGCGAAUCCUAAAAAGCCGGUCCCAGUUCGGAUUGCAGGCUGAAACUCGCCUACAUGAAGUUGGAGUUGCUAGUAAUCGCGAAUCAGAAUGUCGCGGUGAAUGCGUUCCCGGGUCUU
Molecule: ribosomal RNA, 494 nt
Filed under: uncultured Pseudomonas sp.
Lineage: Bacteria; Pseudomonadati; Pseudomonadota; Gammaproteobacteria; Pseudomonadales; Pseudomonadaceae
Description: bacterial SSU rRNA
Rfam family: Bacterial small subunit ribosomal RNA
Source: RNAcentral